GAGAAAAUUCAUUGGAUUUCAAGGAAUUAAGCAAGUAAAGGUGGUGAAACUUUCGAUAAGGGUAAGGAGAUUGUACCCGAAGAUCAGGACUAAGAGUACUUCGACUCUCAAUAUUUCACUGCAGUGGUGGGUUUUCGUGGACCAACCUAUUAGAGAGGGGCACGGUAAACUCAGUUAUAUUUUGCCUCGGUACAAGAGGCACAGAGGGUAUCUCCUGAGGUAAAGCUUUAGAGUUCACUACAGCAAAACCACCACGUGAGGGUGAACUCAGCCAACGCUA
Molecule: non-coding RNA, 280 nt
Organism: Theobroma cacao (cacao)
Lineage: Eukaryota; Viridiplantae; Streptophyta; Magnoliopsida; Malvales; Malvaceae
Source: RefSeq, a predicted model, not a curated record